This 305-nucleotide ribosomal RNA is filed under the name uncultured bacterium. Its description in RNAcentral is "bacterial SSU rRNA". It matches the Rfam family "Bacterial small subunit ribosomal RNA", at positions 333 to 635 of the family's 1533-position model. The record is from RNAcentral.
UGAUUCCUACGGGGCGCAGCAGUGAGGAAUAUUGGUCAAUGGGCGAGAGCCUGAACCAGCCACGUCGCGUGAAGGAUGACGGCCCUACGGGUUGUAAACUUCUUUUGUCAGGGAGCAAUUGAGUCCACGUGUGGGCUUAGCGAGAGUACCUGAAGAAAAAGCAUCGGCUAACUCCGUGCCAGCAGCCGCGGUAAUACGGAGGAUGCGAGCGUUAUCCGGAUUUAUUGGGUUUAAAGGGUGCGUAGGCGGACUGUUAAGUCAGCGGUAAAAGCCCGGGGCUCAACCCCGGCGAGCCGUUGAAACUG